UACGUAGGGUGCAAGCGUUGUCCGGAAUUAUUGGGCGUAAAGAGCUCGUAGGCGGUUUGUUGCGUCGGCUGUGAAAACCUGAGGCUCAACCUCAGGCCUGCAGUCGAUACGAGCAGACUAGAGUGCGGUAGGGGAGAUUGGAAUUCCUGGUGUAGCGGUGGAAUGCGCAGAUAUCAGGAGGAACACCGAUGGCGAAGGCAGAUCUCUGGGCCGUAACUGACGCUGAGGAGCGAAAGCGUGGGGAGCGAACAGG
Molecule: ribosomal RNA, 253 nt
Filed under: uncultured bacterium
Lineage: Bacteria
Description: partial 16S ribosomal RNA
Rfam family: Bacterial small subunit ribosomal RNA
Source: RNAcentral